CGCCAUCUGCACGAGUUUGCGACGCUAGCGAUUCGCGAGAAAAUCAUGGCGUUCACCUUCCCCGGCUCUUCCGUCCCUGAAUCGAGCAUUCGUUCUUCAAUAAUUGCACCAAAAACUGUCGCCAAGAGUGUGGAGAUCAGAGGCCACGUCCCAUGAUUAAUCCCAUUUAUUCCCCUACUAAAUUUCUUUGAAUUCAUCCAGAUUUUUCAGGGUAUAAUCACAUAUAAGUUGCAGAUGCCAGAGAUCAGCCAGCACUAUGUUUGAGAGAUUUUUCAGCGCAUGUGUUCUAGCGGUGUGCAUCUCAUCUCCAGCGAAAACAAGAUUCAUGGUCAUCAAUCGUAUCGUUUCUAUUUGGAACGACGAUGAUUGAUAUCUUCCCCUGUCGGGCAAAUUCUACAGCAUGCGCCUCCUUUGCUUCACAUUGUGCUUUCCAUGGACCAGUUUGACAUCAGGUUUGAACUUCAAAACUUCAGUUUUUCACACUUUUACCCCGAAUUGUAUGUUAUAUUUUAUCUGAAAGAUACAGUGUUACUUUCCUGAUCUCUGUUCUAAUCACCUGUGUGGCUAGCUUUAGUAGUAUAGUACAAGAGUUCUCCUAUGUGUUGUGCCUUGAUUUGUUUAUUUGUAUCUAAAAUCUCGCAGCUUUCAUGUGCUGAUGACGCUCCAUUGACAUGCAACAGUAUGUGCAUUCUUAACUAUUUUACUGCUAUGUGCUCUUUUUCUCUUCCAGUUCCUCUCAUUAGUUAGUUAUGGUGGGUAUGUUAUAUUAGUUCUUGAUUUACACCAUGGAUCAAUAACUAACGGUGUUGCAAUACCCAUUUAAGUUUUUGCAUUUUGUUCAUUUUUCAUUUUGUUCCCU
Molecule: long non-coding RNA, 859 nt
Filed under: Oryza sativa (Asian cultivated rice)
Lineage: Eukaryota; Viridiplantae; Streptophyta; Magnoliopsida; Poales; Poaceae
Description: long non-coding RNA (OSAT_LNC001133)
Source: RNAcentral